GUGCUUGCUUUGGCAGCACAUAUACUAAAAUUGGAAAGAUACAGAAAUUAUCCUGGCCCCUGUGCAAGGAUGACAUGAGAAUUCGUGAAGCAUUCCAUAUUUUA
This is a small nuclear RNA of Suncus etruscus (white-toothed pygmy shrew), 104 nucleotides long. NCBI's taxonomy places the organism in Eukaryota, Metazoa, Chordata, Mammalia, Eulipotyphla, Soricidae. The record is from RefSeq and is a predicted model, not a curated record.